GGAUCCAGACUUUGAUUAUGGCUCACGACGAACGCUGGCGGCGCGCCUAACACAUGCAAGUCGAACGAGUGAGAGAGAGCUUGCUUUCUCGAGCGAGUGGCGAACGGGUGAGUAACGCGUGAGGAACCUGCCUCAAAGAGGGGGACAACAGUUGGAAACGACUGCUAAUACCGCAUAAGCCCACGGGUCGGCAUCGACCAGAGGGAAAAGGAGCAAUCCGCUUUGAGAUGGCCUCGCGUCCGAUUAGCUAGUUGGUGAGGUAACGGCCCACCAAGGCGACGAUCGGUAGCCGGACUGAGAGGUUGAACGGCUACAUUGGGACUGAGACACGGCCCAGACUCCUACGGGAGGCAGCAGUGGGGAAUAUUGCACAAUGGGGGAAACCCUGAUGCAGCGACGCCGCGUGGAGGAAGAAGGUCUUCGGAUUGUAAACUCCUGUUGUUGAGGAAGAUAAUGACGGUACUCAACAAGGAAGUGACGGCUAACUACGUGCCAGCAGCCGCGGUAAAACGUAGGUCACAAGCGUUGUCCGGAAUUACUGGGUGUAAAGGGAGCGCAGGCGGGAAGACAAGUUGGAAGUGAAAUCUAUGGGCUCAACCCAUAAACUGCUUUCAAAACUGUUUUUCUUGAGUAGUGCAGAGGUAGGCGGAAUUCCCGGUGUAGCGGUGGAAUGCGUAGAUAUCGGGAGGAACACCAGUGGCGAAGGCGACCUACUGGGCACCAACUGACGCUGAGGCUCGAAAGUGUGGGUAGCAAACAGGAUUAGAUACCCUGGUAGUCCACACCGUAAACGAUGAUUACUAGGUGUUGGAGGAUUGACCCCUUCAGUGCCGCAGUUAACACAAUAAGUA
RNAcentral lists this ribosomal RNA (851 nucleotides) under uncultured bacterium. RNAcentral's name for it is "bacterial SSU rRNA". It matches the Rfam family "Bacterial small subunit ribosomal RNA", at positions 1 to 866 of the family's 1533-position model. The record is from RNAcentral.